Molecule: ribosomal RNA, 253 nt
Filed under: uncultured bacterium
Lineage: Bacteria
Description: partial 16S ribosomal RNA
Rfam family: Bacterial small subunit ribosomal RNA
Source: RNAcentral
UACGUAGGAGGCAAGCGUUGUCCGGAAUUACUGGGCGUAAAGCGCGCGUAGGCGGUGGGACAAGUCUGCUGUGAAAGCGCCUGGCUUAACCGGGGAAGGUCGGCGGAAACUGUCGCACUCGAGGACGGUAGAGGGGGGUGGAAUUCCCGGUGUAGUGGUGAAAUGCGUAGAGAUCGGGAGGAACACCUGUGGCGAAGGCGGCCCCCUGGGCCGGCCCUGACGCUGAGACGCGAAGGCGUGGGGAGCGAACGGG